RNAcentral lists this ribosomal RNA (465 nucleotides) under Vreelandella stevensii. RNAcentral's name for it is "partial 16S ribosomal RNA". It matches the Rfam family "Bacterial small subunit ribosomal RNA", at positions 338 to 794 of the family's 1533-position model. The record is from RNAcentral. Lineage: Bacteria; Pseudomonadati; Pseudomonadota; Gammaproteobacteria; Oceanospirillales; Halomonadaceae.
CCUACGUGCGUGCAGCAGUGGGGAAUAUUGGACAAUGGGCGAAAGCCUGAUCCAGCCAUGCCGCGUGUGUGAAGAAGGCCUUCGGGUUGUAAAGCACUUUCAGUGGGGAAGAAAGCCUUGGGGCUAAUACCCUCGAGGAAGGACAUCACCCACAGAAGAAGCACCGGCUAACUCCGUGCCAGCAGCCGCGGUAAUACGGAGGGUGCGAGCGUUAAUCGGAAUUACUGGGCGUAAAGCGCGCGUAGGCGGUCUGAUAAGCCGGUUGUGAAAGCCCCGGGCUCAACCUGGGAACGGCAUCCGGAACUGUCAGGCUAGAGUGCAGGAGAGGAAGGUAGAAUUCCCGGUGUAGCGGUGAAAUGCGUAGAGAUCGGGAGGAAUACCAGUGGCGAAGGCGGCCUUCUGGACUGACACUGACGCUGAGGUGCGAAAGCGUGGGUAGCAAACAGGAUUAGAUACCCCGGUAGC